GUAUUCUACGCGGAUGUCUUGGUG
This 24-nucleotide microRNA is filed under the name Mesocestoides corti. RNAcentral describes it as "mco-miR-124b-3p". Its record names the gene mco-miR-124b-3p. Lineage: Eukaryota; Metazoa; Platyhelminthes; Cestoda; Cyclophyllidea; Mesocestoididae. The record is from miRBase by way of RNAcentral.